RNAcentral lists this long non-coding RNA (435 nucleotides) under Brassica napus (rape). Its description in RNAcentral is "long non-coding RNA (BNAP_LNC013751)". The record is from RNAcentral. Lineage: Eukaryota; Viridiplantae; Streptophyta; Magnoliopsida; Brassicales; Brassicaceae.
GUUCUUAGUUUUUCUAGUUAAAAGUUAAGAGACGGUUUCUUAUAUUCCGCUAAGAACCUCACGCUUAGAAACUCCUAAUAAACAUGCUCUAAGUUUACUUAAUCCAGUGUACCGAACCAUAAAUGGCAAAUCCAGGAUGUUAAAUGAACUUUUGAUUUUAAAGAUUUAUGAGAAUGGGAAACGAAAUGCAUAAUCACGAAUUAUUCUGCCAUUGUGAAAUUAUAUACCGAUCACAUGCAGCCUCCAUUUUAUAAAGAGUUUCAAGCUUUCAAACCGUGUAAGUCUGGAAGAAUUAAUAUAUCAUAUACUGAAAAAUAACUCUUGAAAGUCGAGAGUAUUCGCGACACCUGCCGAAUGUAAGAAGACAUGAGAAGACAUGUCUUCCAUAAGAAUCUUUCUCCUACGGAUCCUUUGAUAGAGCCAAAUAUUAGAAGU